Molecule: ribosomal RNA, 253 nt
Filed under: uncultured bacterium
Lineage: Bacteria
Description: partial 16S ribosomal RNA
Rfam family: Bacterial small subunit ribosomal RNA
Source: RNAcentral
UACGGAGGGGGCGAGCGUUAUUCGGAAUUAUUGGGCGUAAAGGGCGCGUAGGCGGCUUGAUGUGUCAAAGGUGAAAUCCCUCGGCUCAACUGAGGAACUGCCUUUGAAACUGUCUGGCUUGAGGCCGGGAGAGGGUAGCGGAAUUCCCAGUGUAGCGGUGAAAUGCGUAGAUACUGGGAGGAACACCGGUGGCGAAGGCGGCUACCUGGACCGGUUCUGACGCUGAUGCGCGAAAGCGUGGGGAGCGAACCGG